Molecule: long non-coding RNA, 857 nt
Organism: Pogoniulus pusillus (Red-fronted tinkerbird)
Lineage: Eukaryota; Metazoa; Chordata; Aves; Piciformes; Lybiidae
Exons: 3
Source: RefSeq, a predicted model, not a curated record
GCAAGGAUGCUGCUCGGCAAGGAUGCUGCUCCGUUUGUCUUCGAGAGGCACCCUGGUGGCAGAGGAGAGAUUUGGUGGGAGGAGGCCAACCCAGCCAGGCAAUGUUAUCCCGGCUACUCCCUCUCACCUCAGAGCAGCCUUGCUCCUGCAUGAGUUGCAUCAGCCCUGCAAAGCGCUCGGGGUUUCCGUGGGUUACACAGGUCACGCCGAAGUGCGGCGGCAUCGGACAGCAGAGGGAGCUCGGGGAGAGGAAGAAAAGCAGGCGAAGCCUGGCAGCAGCUGCCCCAGGAGAGGAGCGAGGGGUUUCGCACUGCUAUCUGCGGGGGCUCUGCUGCACCCAGAAUGAUUGGUGGUUUCUUUGCUCCACGGGAGAAUAGGAAGCUACAGAGAAGGUGAAGCAUCAGAAAGACAAGGCAAGGAGAGAGUGCCAUCUUCUAGCCAGGAAGUUCAGAAGCUGGGACAGAGUCAUGGCUCUGGAAGCUCUGGCCUAGCAAGGUCUCCAAGUCACAGUGCUUUUGGCAUAGAGGUUACUGUGCCAGGCGUUUGAAAACAAGCAUAAUGGUGAAGUGUCUUCAGAAAAGUGGUAAUGUGAGUCUGGAUGACUGUUUAAGAGGGAGUUAUAGCAAAGAAAAUUGGAUAGCACAAAUUUAGAAAAACAAAAAAUGAUGGAAUUAUAAAUGAACAUGAUAGGGACAAUGUUGUUUUGCAGUGCUUUUUGUUGUGGAAAACCAGGCUGCUUUGGUUCUCUUGGUGUCUUUGGGAUUGUCAGUCAAGGUAGCUAAUGGAGAAUUGUCUGACAUAAUUAGACUUUCCAAAAGCUUUGUCAUUGCAUGCUCAUGACGAGACACACUGAGCUG